AACGAACGCUGGCGGCAGGCCUAACACAUGCAAGUCGAACGAGAAUCUUUCCUUCGGGAAAGUGGAAAGUGGCAGACGGGUGAGUAACGCGUGGGAACGUGCCUUUCGGUUCGGAAUAACUCAGGGAAACUUGGGCUAAUACCGGAUACGCCCUUCGGGGGAAAGAUUUAUCGCCGGAAGAUCGGCCCGCGUCGGAUUAGCUUGUUGGUGAGGUAACGGCUUACCAAGGCGACGAUCCGUAGCUGGUCUGAGAGGAUGAUCAGCCACACUGGGACUGAGACACGGCCCAGACUCCUACGGGAGGCAGCAGUGGGGAAUAUUGGACAAUGGGCGCAAGCCUGAUCCAGCCAUGCCGCGUGGGUGAAGAAGGCCCUAGGGUUGUAAAUCCCUUUCAGCGGGGAAGAUAAUGACGGUACCCGCAGAAGAAGCCCCGGCUAACUCCGUG
Molecule: ribosomal RNA, 445 nt
Filed under: uncultured bacterium
Lineage: Bacteria
Description: bacterial SSU rRNA
Rfam family: Bacterial small subunit ribosomal RNA
Source: RNAcentral